This 509-nucleotide ribosomal RNA is filed under the name uncultured bacterium. Its description in RNAcentral is "bacterial SSU rRNA". It matches the Rfam family "Bacterial small subunit ribosomal RNA", at positions 676 to 1193 of the family's 1533-position model. The record is from RNAcentral.
CGGCCGCGUCGACCGUUGAGAUGUGUCGGAACACCAAUGGCGAAAGCAGCUUUCUGGACGAAUAUUGACGCUCAUGCACGAAAGCCAAGGUAGCAAACAGGAUUAGAUACCCUGGUAGUCUUGGCCAUAAAUAUGUUCACUAGGUGUCGGGGGGUAACCUUCGGUGCCGCAGCUAACGCAUUAAGUGAACCGCCUGGGGACUACGGCCGCAAGGUUGAAACUCAAAGGAAUUGCGGGGGCCCGCACAAGCGGUGGAGCAUAUGGCUUAAUUCGAUGCAACGCGAAGAACCUUACCAGGGCUUGACAUGGAUCUGCAAGCCGCCGAAAAGCGGUCGCUUUCGAAGGUGAUUCACAGGUGGUGCAUGGCUGUCGUCAGCUCUUGUUGUGAAAUGUUGGGUUAAGUCCCGCAACGAGCGCAACCCUCGUGUUUAGUUGCCAUCAUUAAGUUGGGCACUCUAAACAGACUGCCGGUGACAAACCGGAGGAAGGUGGGGAUGACGUCAAGUCAG